Molecule: ribosomal RNA, 253 nt
Filed under: uncultured prokaryote
Description: partial 16S ribosomal RNA
Rfam family: Bacterial small subunit ribosomal RNA
Source: RNAcentral
ACGGAGGGUGCAAGCGUUAUCCGGAUUCACUGGGUUUAAAGGGUGCGUAGGCGGACAGGUAAGUCAGUGGUGAAAUCUCUGGGCUUAACUCAGAAACUGCCGUUGAUACUAUCUGUCUUGAAUAUCCUGGAGGUAAGCGGAAUAUGUCAUGUAGCGGUGAAAUGCUUAGAUAUGACAUAGAACACCGAUUGCGAAGGCAGCUCACUACACGAAUAUUGACGCUGAGGCACGAAAGCGUGGGGAUCAAACAGGA